ACUCCCUUACCUUGAGAGAGACUUUCACAGGCAGCUCCUCAUCUGCCUCUAAUUCCUAGAGGGCUGUUUUCUGCCUUGUUUCCUCUUAGGGUACAGCCGCAGACUAUAAAACUGCUUAGCUGUUGUGUGGAAUUGGCUCCACAGAACACAGUGCCUCAUAACUCAUUUGCAUGUCAUUUUGCCCCUUUUGUUUGAGUGUCAACCUGUGGGACAAGGAACAUGGGACAUGGAGCACUGCCAUCAAUGUUGACCUUGUUUGACUGACAAUAAGAAAACCAGUCUGGACAGGCAAGGAUAGACCAAUAAAGGACUGAAAAACAAUUUCAUCAUGUUUUUGGAAUUGCAUGAGUGUUAGUGAAACCAUCCAAGAAAAUGAAACUGAUCUCCGUGGACUCCUAAAUCGAUCUCAGUACUCACCAGCGCAUCCACUGGGGCUUACAUAGCAGCUUCACAGCAUUAACUGAGUCCAAAUACAACAGAUUCUGGCCCAGUGAUGGAACAGCAAAGGAGAAUGAGCCUCAGAGCUGUCAAGCUUCUCAUUUAAAGUUAUUGUAAAGAAAGUUCAUCUCAGAAAGAUGGCCAACUAUGAAUUUUCAGUGUAGAUAAUUAGGUAACUCUACAGCUAUUUUUGGAGGUGUGGAGGCACAAAGAUGUGUCGCCUUAUGGCCUGGAAGACUGACCAGGACAAAUGAUACAACUGGACUUUAACCAGAAGCCUUCUCACAAGUUCCAACCAGCAACACACUUCAAUAGACAAGGAAAGCUACAAAUGGGCAGUGCCUCAGCUCCUGAAAUUACAAGAUGGAGAAAAAUCCCACUGCCCAUGUGAGAAUUUAAGUGAAGAACAAAUAGAACUUUUAUGAUGCUAAGUCUCUGAGAUUUGGGAGUUUGCUGUGGCAACAAAUGAUAAUUAGAUACUAGAGAUGAUACUAUUGGUUCCUUAUCCCAGUGACCUUCCUGAAAGGACCACAGUUGUGUUCAGGUUUCCAUUCCCAAUGUCAGUGUGACUGAUGGGUUCCCUCAUGUAUAUGUGAUACAAUCCUUACCAAGAAAGCAUGAGGAAAGACUCAUACAGAACUCUGGAAAUAAAGAUGCUGUCUUCUC
Molecule: long non-coding RNA, 1104 nt
Organism: Symphalangus syndactylus (siamang)
Lineage: Eukaryota; Metazoa; Chordata; Mammalia; Primates; Hylobatidae
Source: RefSeq, a predicted model, not a curated record